CCUACGGGUGGCAGCAGUGAGGAAUAUUGGUCAAUGGACGAGAGUCUGAACCAGCCAAGUAGCGUGCAGGAUGACUGCCCUAUGGGUUGUAAACUUCUUUUAUACGGGAAUAAAACUAGUUACGCUUACUGUCUUGCAUGUACCCUCUGAAUAAGGAUCGGCUAACUCCGUGCCAGCAGCCGCGGUAAUACGGAGGAUCCGAGCGUUAUCCGGAUUUAUUGGGUUUAAAGGGAGCGUAGGUGGGUUGUCAAGUGAGUUGUGAAAGUGUGCGGCUCAACCGUAAAAUGGCAGUUGAAACUGGCGGUCUUGAGUACAGGAGAGGUAGGCGGAAUUCGUUGUGUAGCGGUGAAAUGCUGAGAUAUCACGAAGAACCCCGAUUGCGAAGGCAGCUUACUGAACUGUAACUGACAUUGAUGCUCGAAAGUGUGGGUAUCAAACAGGAUUAGAUACCCUUGUAGUC
This 460-nucleotide ribosomal RNA is filed under the name uncultured bacterium. RNAcentral describes it as "partial 16S ribosomal RNA". It matches the Rfam family "Bacterial small subunit ribosomal RNA", at positions 338 to 795 of the family's 1533-position model. The record is from RNAcentral.